CCUACGGGGUGCAGCAGUGAGGAAUAUUGGUCAAUGGACGAGAGUCUGAACCAGCCAAGUAGCGUGAAGGAUGACUGCCCUAUGGGUUGUAAACUUCUUUUAUAUGGGAAUAAAAUGUUCCACGUGUGGGAUUUUGUAUGUACCAUAUGACUAAGGAUCGGCUAACUCCGUGCCAGCAGCCGCGGUAAUACGGAGGAUCCGAGCGUUAUCCGGAUUUAUUGGGUUUAAAGGGAGCGUAGGUGGAUUGUUAAGUCAGUUGUGAAAGUUUGCGGCUCAACCGUAAAAUUGCAGUUGAAACUGGCAGUCUUGAGUACAGUAGAGGUGGGCGGAAUUCGUGGUGUAGCGGUGAAAUGCUUAGAUAUCACGAAGAACUCCGAUUGCGAAGGCAGUUCACUGGACUGCAACUGACACUGAGGCUCGAAAGUGUGGGUAUCAAACAGGAUUAGAUACCCUUGUAGUC
RNAcentral lists this ribosomal RNA (460 nucleotides) under uncultured bacterium. Its description in RNAcentral is "partial 16S ribosomal RNA". It matches the Rfam family "Bacterial small subunit ribosomal RNA", at positions 338 to 795 of the family's 1533-position model. The record is from RNAcentral.